Molecule: ribosomal RNA, 1823 nt
Filed under: Pseudomonas aeruginosa
Lineage: Bacteria; Pseudomonadati; Pseudomonadota; Gammaproteobacteria; Pseudomonadales; Pseudomonadaceae
Description: bacterial LSU rRNA
Rfam family: Bacterial large subunit ribosomal RNA
Source: RNAcentral
CCUUUAAAGAAAGCGUAAUAGCUCACUAGUCGAGUCGGCCUGCGCGGAAGAUGUAACGGGGCUCAAACCACACACCGAAGCUGCGGGUGUCACGUAAGUGACGCGGUAGAGGAGCGUUCUGUAAGCCUGUGAAGGUGAGUUGAGAAGCUUGCUGGAGGUAUCAGAAGUGCGAAUGCUGACAUGAGUAACGACAAUGGGUGUGAAAAACACCCACGCCGAAAGACCAAGGGUUCCUGCGCAACGUUAAUCGACGCAGGGUUAGUCGGUUCCUAAGGCGAGGCUGAAAAGCGUAGUCGAUGGGAAACAGGUUAAUAUUCCUGUACUUCUGGUUACUGCGAUGGAGGGACGGAGAAGGCUAGGCCAGCUUGGCGUUGGUUGUCCAAGUUUAAGGUGGUAGGCUGAAAUCUUAGGUAAAUCCGGGGUUUCAAGGCCGAGAGCUGAUGACGAGUCGUCUUUUAGAUGACGAAGUGGUUGAUGCCAUGCUUCCAAGAAAAGCUUCUAAGCUUCAGGUAACCAGGAACCGUACCCCAAACCGACACAGGUGGUCGGGUAGAGAAUACCAAGGCGCUUGAGAGAACUCGGGUGAAGGAACUAGGCAAAAUGGCACCGUAACUUCGGGAGAAGGUGCGCCGGCUAGGGUGAAGGAUUUACUCCGUAAGCUCUGGCUGGUCGAAGAUACCAGGCCGCUGCGACUGUUUAUUAAAAACACAGCACUCUGCAAACACGAAAGUGGACGUAUAGGGUGUGACGCCUGCCCGGUGCCGGAAGGUUAAUUGAUGGGGUUAGCGCAAGCGAAGCUCUUGAUCGAAGCCCCGGUAAACGGCGGCCGUAACUAUAACGGUCCUAAGGUAGCGAAAUUCCUUGUCGGGUAAGUUCCGACCUGCACGAAUGGCGUAACGAUGGCGGCGCUGUCUCCACCCGAGACUCAGUGAAAUUGAAAUCGCUGUGAAGAUGCAGUGUAUCCGCGGCUAGACGGAAAGACCCCGUGAACCUUUACUGUAGCUUUGCACUGGACUUUGAGCCUGCUUGUGUAGGAUAGGUGGGAGGCUUUGAAGCGUGGACGCCAGUUCGCGUGGAGCCAUCCUUGAAAUACCACCCUGGCAUGCUUGAGGUUCUAACUCUGGUCCGUGAUCCGGAUCGAGGACAGUGUAUGGUGGGCAGUUUGACUGGGGCGGUCUCCUCCUAAAGAGUAACGGAGGAGUACGAAGGUGCGCUCAGACCGGUCGGAAAUCGGUCGCAGAGUAUAAAGGCAAAAGCGCGCUUGACUGCGAGACAGACACGUCGAGCAGGUACGAAAGUAGGUCUUAGUGAUCCGGUGGUUCUGUAUGGAAGGGCCAUCGCUCAACGGAUAAAAGGUACUCCGGGGAUAACAGGCUGAUACCGCCCAAGAGUUCAUAUCGACGGCGGUGUUUGGCACCUCGAUGUCGGCUCAUCACAUCCUGGGGCUGAAGCCGGUCCCAAGGGUAUGGCUGUUCGCCAUUUAAAGUGGUACGCGAGCUGGGUUUAGAACGUCGUGAGACAGUUCGGUCCCUAUCUGCCGUGGACGUUUGAGAUUUGAGAGGGGCUGCUCCUAGUACGAGAGGACCGGAGUGGACGAACCUCUGGUGUUCCGGUUGUCACGCCAGUGGCAUUGCCGGGUAGCUAUGUUCGGAAAAGAUAACCGCUGAAAGCAUCUAAGCGGGAAACUUGCCUCAAGAUGAGAUCUCACUGGGAACUUGAUUCCCCUGAAGGGCCGUCGAAGACUACGACGUUGAUAGGCUGGGUGUGUAAGCGUUGUGAGGCGUUGAGCUAACCAGUACUAAUUGCCCGUGAGGCUUGACCAU